This 334-nucleotide unclassified non-coding RNA is filed under the name soil metagenome. RNAcentral's name for it is "partial contains 5.8S ribosomal RNA, internal transcribed spacer 2, and large subunit ribosomal RNA". The stretch from base 1 to 120 matches the Rfam family "5.8S ribosomal RNA", at positions 35 to 154 of the family's 154-position model. The record is from RNAcentral.
GAUGAAGAACGUAGCGAAAUGCGAUACGUAAUGUGAAUUGCAGAAUUCAGUGAAUCAUCGAAUCUUUGAACGCACAUUGCGCCCGCCAGCACUCUGGCGGGCAUGCCUGUUCGAGCGUCAUUUCAACCAUCAAGCCCCAGGCUUGCGUUGGAGCCCUGCGGCUGCCGCGGCCUCCUAAAAGCAGUGGCGGGCUCGCUAUCACACCGAGUGCAGUAGAUUACUCUUCGCUCAGGGCGUGCAGCGGGUUCCGGCCGUGAAACCCCCUACUUUUAAAGGUUGACCUCGGAUCAGGUAGGAAUACCCGCUGAACUUAAGCAUAUCAAUAAGCGGAGGA